ACGGAUCCAAGGACUUUCGCUCCAACUCCUUCAAACCAUAAUUUUUAGAAUUUUUAUUAUUAAGAUUUUAAAUGAUUUAGGAGGACUCUCAUUUAAAUCAAAAACUUUUUAUUUUUAAAUUUAAUUUAUUAUUAUGAUUUUAAAUAAAUGCUUUGAAAUCCCAGAUUCAUCUUUCAAUUUAUAAUCCUGUGGGCAUUAUUUUCAAUUAUCAACAAUUAAACCUGCAACAACAUAUGCAAUCCCCACCAGAACAGAAUCUCUCUCCUUUUAGAGAAGGGAACUUUAGCCACACAAAACUAAAACAACAAUCUGGAAACGUGUAAAAGCAUAAGCAUGUAUCAGAUAUCAUCCACCAACACAUAAAUAAACACACAAAUGCAUUAAUCACCUCACACUCAUCCAUCCAUUCUUAAUCCAAACAGCAGCCUAAAAAUUACGAAUACAACUCCAUUUUACCUAUAACCUUAGGAGAAAGGAAAGCACUGGCAGGAAUUAAACUGGUAUAUCAGCCGUAAGCAAAGGCUUAUCAGAGGUUCUGGAAAUCAAUGGAUUACCCGAGCAGUGAAGCUGGACUCAAUGUUGCAUCUGGGGUUGAGAUGAAUAAAACAAAUCUGGCCUUGCUUUCAUGGAGAUAUAUUUAGUCAUUCUGCUUCGGGAAAAGACGCAAUCGGCUCUGUGGGGCUCAGAAUCGAAGAAAACCACUGUUGUGGUCUGGAUUUUGAAGUUAAGGAGGGUGCGGAUUCUGGGUAUUCCGGUUUUGGGAGGGUUAGUCGAGAGAGGGAGUUGGCGUUGGGUUUUCUGGUUUUGAUUGGAAUCGUGUAUGGAAAGAUUCGUGGGUUCUGGUGCAGACAAGUUCAGAAGCUGGGUUAAAUGGAGAUGGAAAAUGAUGGAGAAGAAGGAGAAGGGCAUGGGUCUAACUGGUACACCUGCUGGUGGCUUCGAUGCUACGAUCGGGAGAACGGACUGGGUAGGACUGUGGGAGUGGAUUUUGGGAAGAACCGAGAGCUGCCGAUCAUGGAGAUGGGGGCUGCUGACAUGUUUUGGAGAGUGACAUGGGCCACGUUUCAGGCAGACACGGAAGAGGGAAAACGUAUUGGAAGAAAUGAGGGCAGGCUUGGAUAAUUUCAUAUUGAUCCUUCCAUAAUUCUUUCCCAAGUUUAUAACAAAUAUCUUACUGGGGAUGUCAACUGGAUCAUAUAUUUUUUAUAUUCGAUCUAAUU
RNAcentral lists this long non-coding RNA (1220 nucleotides) under Manihot esculenta (cassava). RNAcentral describes it as "long non-coding RNA (MESC_LNC005317)". Lineage: Eukaryota; Viridiplantae; Streptophyta; Magnoliopsida; Malpighiales; Euphorbiaceae. The record is from RNAcentral.